CCUGUCCAACUCCUUCCUUGUGAGGAUGAUAUUUGAAGACAUUUGGCAGAAGAGCUAAUUUAGCCGAGACACAUGAAAACUAAAAGAGUCUUGGCAAAGUCGUUUUCUGUAUCACACUAACACUGUCUAGGUACAUGUUUAUUUCAUUCCAACAGUCUGAAAUUCCAAAUUCAGAGGGGAAAAAAUAAAUUCGAAUAGGGCGAUUGCAACUGCGAAGACAUUUGCCACCACUUUCCUCCACACUAAUCAUCAUAUACCACCUCAAUACUGGGAAACUAGAAAACUCUGGCUAGUAAAGUUCGACAGUUAUGUUUAUACGGUCCCCUUCUCCAGCGAACUUUAAAUAGCAAACUAUAAACGAACUGGCUAUAGCGAUAAUUUUUUGAGCUAUAGCGACGGUUUGAACCGUGAGCAUAAUUAUGUCGUCGGCUUUGUAUGCUAUAGUGACGGAAAAAACCGUCGUUAUAGUUGGUUCUCUUUUGAAGAAGGGGACCAUAAUUAUGUUAUCGGCUUUGUAUGCUAUAGAGACGGAAAAAAUAACCGGUUCGCUGUUUAAGGUUCGCUGAAGAAGGGGACCAUAUGUUUAUAUAUCCCUCUUAAAUCUUUAUCAUUUCUCAUAGGCCAUGUUUUAUUAAUUGAAACUUGAAAGUACGAAAAAGUCUC
RNAcentral lists this long non-coding RNA (663 nucleotides) under Panax ginseng (ginseng). RNAcentral describes it as "long non-coding RNA (PGIN_LNC012571)". The record is from RNAcentral. Lineage: Eukaryota; Viridiplantae; Streptophyta; Magnoliopsida; Apiales; Araliaceae.